RNAcentral lists this transfer RNA (76 nucleotides) under Streptomyces phage Moab. RNAcentral describes it as "tRNA-Ile". It matches the Rfam family "tRNA". From Rfam's summary of the family: Transfer RNA (tRNA) molecules are approximately 80 nucleotides in length. Their secondary structure includes four short double-helical elements and three loops (D, anti-codon, and T loops). Lineage: Duplodnaviria; Heunggongvirae; Uroviricota; Caudoviricetes; Stanwilliamsviridae. RNAcentral also lists the same sequence under 2 other names. The record is from RNAcentral.
UGGGGUAUAGCUCGGUCUGGUUAGAGCAUUCCGCUGAUAACGGAACGGUCGUCGGUUCAAAUCCGACUGCCCCAAC